RNAcentral lists this non-coding RNA (47 nucleotides) under Echinostoma caproni. The record is from RNAcentral. Lineage: Eukaryota; Metazoa; Platyhelminthes; Trematoda; Plagiorchiida; Echinostomatidae.
GCACUGCUGACGAGUCCCAAACAGGACGAAACACAACUGUCCAGCAC